GUGUAAACACUUUUCGUUUUUAAAUAAAAAAUAUACAGAAAAAAUGAAAACAAUACAGAAAUAUGAUGUUACGAUUUAUAAGGACAUUCAUUUAGUACCAUAAAAAAAUAUUAUGCCCUUAUGAUUAAAAUUGAAGUGACCUUUUAAAAAUCCACAUCCCCAUAAUAUAGUACCGAAGCAUCAUGAAAACCUAUUCAGAAACAUACAUCCCCACCCUCACAUUCACCUGGUGGUGCAAAAUAUUUUGGCCUGGAUUGAAGUUCAGAUCAGAUCAGGUCAGUCCCCAAGGCGUCAGGAUGACAACAAUGUAUCCAACACAUCGCCCAAGCCAUCAGCACCAGUUUUGUGAAAAUAGCAACUGCAAGUGUCUGUCCAAUUGAAAGAAAUAAUGUCUGCUACAAGUCCUAUCUAACUCCAAACUUGGUGUCGACUAAUAAAUUUAAAAGCAACACAUAAGUAAAAAUCGGAGGACACGGAAUCUUUAAACAUUUCUACAAAGACUCACUGGCGUACUCAGAAGAGGCAGUGUGAGAGAGCCAUGCUUCGGCACGAAUGGGCCGGUUCAACCUGAGUGUACCACGGC
Non-coding RNA from Spodoptera litura, 583 nucleotides. Lineage: Eukaryota; Metazoa; Arthropoda; Insecta; Lepidoptera; Noctuidae. The record is from RefSeq and is a predicted model, not a curated record.